UGGGGAAUUUUGGACAAUGGGGGAAACCCUGAUCCAGCCAUCCCGCGUGUGCGAUGAAGGCCUUCGGGUUGUAAAGCACUUUUGGCAGGAAAGAAACGUCAUGGGUUAAUACCCCGUGAAACUGACGGUACCUGCAGAAUAAGCACCGGCUAACUACGUGCCAGCAGCCGCGGUAAUACGUAGGGUGCAAGCGUUAAUCGGAAUUACUGGGCGUAAAGCUUGCGCAGGCGGUUCGGAAAGAAAGAUGUGAAAUCCCAGAGCUCAACUUUGGAACUGCAUUUUUAACUACCGGGCUAGAGUGUGUCAGAGGGAGGUGGAAUUCCGCGUGUAGCAGUGAAAUGCGUAGAUAUGCGGAGGAACACCGAUGGCGAAGGCAGCCUCAUGGGAUAACACUGACGCUCAUGCACGAAAGCGUGGGGAGCAAACAGG
RNAcentral lists this ribosomal RNA (429 nucleotides) under Acidobacteriota bacterium. Its description in RNAcentral is "Acidobacteria bacterium partial 16S ribosomal RNA". It matches the Rfam family "Bacterial small subunit ribosomal RNA", at positions 355 to 776 of the family's 1533-position model. The record is from RNAcentral. Lineage: Bacteria; Pseudomonadati; Acidobacteriota.